CUCAGCUGCGGGAGGGGGCGUGUCUGGGAACCGUCCGGUGACCUCACUGCUCCCCGCCAUGCUUGGGGAUCAAGACCAGUUAAUACUGCUGACUUCGAGACUCCAGGUGCCAAAACUUUCACUGUGAAAAUGCCAGGACCAGGUCCCCACAGCCUAGCCCACAAACUGUCACUGUCCUCGGAAGGAAACAAAGAGAAGAGAUACACCCAAGACUAAGAAAUAGCCAGCGACCGGCUCCCACCGCUCCCCAGGAGCCAUAGCUAAGAUAUAUUAGUGUGACCAUUGUUUUUAGUGGAAGAUGAUUGAAAGUGAACACUUUAAUCGAGGUGAAAUCAUUAAAGAACUGUGUUUGUGCAAUGGUUUAUCUUAUGAGAUGGUUGGACAAGAAGGAUCAGAUACUUCAAAACUGGAGAUGUUCUUUUCAGGGUAUCCCCGAAUAGUUGGAUUAUCACUGUUUCAUAAUUUAUCAAGUCUUACAAUUGUUGCUCAAGAUAUAAAGGAAAUUUCAGGGCUAGAGACUUGCUUACGGCUUAAGGAACUUUGGAUUGCUGAGUGCUGCAUAGAGAAAAUUGAAGGCCUUCACGGAUGUAGAAAUUUGGAAAAAUUAUAUUUAUAUUACAAUAAAAUUUCCAAAAUAGAAAAUUUAGAGAAGUUAAUAAAAUUGGAAGUUCUGUGGCUGAACCACAACACGAUAAGAAAUAUUGAGGGCUUGCAGACUUUGAAGAAUCUAAAAGACCUCAACCUUGCGGGGAACCUAAUAAGCAGCAUUGGUCGAUGUCUCGAUCCCAAUGAACAACUGGAAAAACUAAACCUUUCUGGAAAUCAAAUUACUUCUUUCAAGGACCUUACUAACUUGACCAAGCUCCCUCGCUUAAAGGAUUUAUCUCUGAAUGACCCUCAGUAUAAAUCAAAUCCAGUGUGUCAGCUGUGUAACUACUCCACCCACGUGUUGUAUCACCUGCCUUCUCUUCAACGACUUGACACGUUUGACGUAUCAGCAAAGCAAAUCAAGGAGCUGGCAGAUUCAACAGCAAUGAAAAAAAUAAUGUAUUAUAACAUGAGAAUAAAAACUGUUCAGAGACAUCUGAAUGAAGAACUUGAAAAACUGAAUGACAGGAAAUGCAAGUUACAGAAGCUACCGGAAGAACGGAUAAAAUUAUUCAACUUUGCAAAGAAAACAUUAGAACGGGAACUGGCUGAACUCAAGAUCUCUGGCAAAGGGCAGAGUGAUACUGCACCAGAGGCCGAGAAAGCCCGGAAUAGUGAGACUCUCACACAGGAAUCGGUUCUGCAGCAGAAGAUACUGACCAAGCUGAAUGCCCUGGACGACAGAGUCAUGUUCUGGAACAAGAAGCUACAUGAAAUUGAAGCAAUUUAUCGUACUGAAGUAAAACAGAAGAAGAAGAGCCAUGGCUUACUGACCCCAUUUCUGCUCACGGAGCUGGAGACCGUGGGGAACAUCCAUUUUGAGGAAGGCACUCGAGCUGAUGAAUGGUUUAAUUCCUGCUAUGAACUAAUUCUCUCACGUUUCUGCACCUGGGACUUCAGAGCAUACGGCAUCACAGGGGUGAAAGUCAAGCGUGUCAUUAAAGUCAACAACCGUAUUCUGAGACUGAGAUUUGAAGAGAAAUUCCAAAAGUGUUUGGAUCUAGAGGACAUACAAGAUUCAGAGAGCUAUCGAAAGAUGCUGGAAUGCCUCUUCUACGUCUUUGAUCCUGAAGUGACAGUAAAGAAAAAGCAUCUGCUACAAAUACUUGAGAGGGGAUUCAAAGACAGCGACACAAGCAAGCCCCCUCUUAGAAAGGAAGCUGUUACCCUUGUGAACAGCCUCAGUAUGUGUGAGUGCCCCCGAAUCGAGUUCCUCCAGCAGAAGUAUAAAGAGGAGAAGAAAAGCCCAUCAGAGAGCGACCUCUACAGACACGGCACCAUCCUCAUUGCGAAGGUUUUUCUUGGCCAGAGUAUUCAGGCUCGUGACCAGGAACCCAUCAGUAAAGCCAACUACCCCAUGGUUAACUCGGUGUUUGUUCCUCAGAGACACAUGCUAAGACAAAGAACUUGUGAUUGUGGAUAUCGGCAGUACAAAUGGUUUGUCUUUGACCACGACCUGGUUUUGCCAGAGUACAUCGUUGAGUUUGAGUAUACUACAGUGGUCAAAGUCCACUCUUUAUUUUCCACAUUAAACAAUGUUAUUCUAGAAGAAGGCAAAAAGUAUUCUGAAGGAUUAGUAUUCUCGCAGGAUUUGAAGUUUGACGAUGAAGUUCUGAAGAUGGAGCCCAGGAUUAAGCCCCGCCCAAAACUCAUUAGUUUGGAUGAGAAGACAAUAAUUUCCCUUGCUAGGACUAAUAUUUAUAGCCAUAUUGUGAAUCUGAAUCUACAUGGGAAUAGCUUGAGUAAACUGAGAGAUCUUUCCAAGUUAACUGGGCUUCGAAAACUGAACAUUAGCUUUAACGAGUUUACUUGCUUAGAUGAUGUCUACCACUUGUACAACCUAGAGUAUCUGGACGCCAGCCAUAACCAUGUGAUAACCCUGGAGGGCUUCCGAGGCCUGAUGAAGCUGAAGCAUUUAGACUUGAGCUGGAAUCAGCUCAAGAAGACAGGCGAAGAGAUCAACGUGCUGUGCAAACACACCACCAGCCUCCUCACCCUGGACAUCCAGCACAACCCCUGGCAGAAGCCAGCCACAUUGAGGCUGAGUGUUAUUGGCAGACUAAAGACUCUUACGCACUUAGACGGACUCCUCAUCUCUGAAGAAGAAACCAGAGCAGCUCUGAAAUUCAUUAGUGGAACAAAGAUUACUCAGUUAACUCUCUUACAGCAUUCUAGCUCUAAAGAGGAAAGACCUCGGAUGCUCAGUAUAUGGCCUUCUGCCAAAAUUCUGACCCAGAUUUCAAAGUUAGGACCCCACUUUCAUCUGACUGGGAACUGGUACUUGAAGAUAACUGCCUUAAAUUUAGAUGGACAACAUCUCUUUGAAAUCACAAAUCUAGAAAAAUUGGAGAAUUUGAAAUGGGCAUCGUUCAGCAAUAAUAACCUCUCCAAAAUGGAAGGCCUUGAGUCCUGUGUCAACCUGGAGGAGCUCACAUUAGAUGGCAACUGCAUCUCAAAGAUAGAAGGCAUCACCAGGCUGACCAAACUAAGCCGCCUCAGCAUGAACAACAACCUUCUCACCGGCCUGGAGAAGCACACGUUUGAUAACAUGCUUCAUCUCCACUCCCUCUCUCUCGAGAACAACAGGAUCACAUCACUGAGCGCUUUACAAAAGACAUUCACUCUGAUCGAGUUGUACAUAAGCAAUAACUACAUAGCCGUGAACCAAGAGAUCUACAACUUAAAGGGUUUAUGCAACUUGGUCAUUCUAGACAUGUAUGGAAACAUUAUUAUAUGGAACCAAGAAAACUACCGGCUGUUUGUAAUAUUUCAUCUUUCUGAACUGAAGGCCUUGGAUGGAAUGUCAAUUGAACCAUCAGAGACUGAGAAUGCAAAAGAUUUGUUUGGUGGUCGUCUCACCUCUGACAUGAUUGCUGAACGACAAGGACACUCAAACUUUGUCCAAAUGCAAGAGCUAAACUGGACCUCCUCAUCCAUCAGGACUGUGGAUCUGAUUCCUGUUGACCACUUCAGGAAUGUGAGCAAUGUGAAUCUCCAGAACAACAACCUCACGUCAUUCAGUGGCCUCAUCUACCUGCCCAAUGUGAAGGUCUUAUGCCUCAACUAUAAUCACAUUGAAUCAAUCAUGCCUAGACUAAAGCCUCAGACUCACUUAAGCAGCAGACAGAUGCUCUACCAGAAAGUGCCCUCAAGUGGCUAUGGACAGCAAGGAAGCUCAAAACUAAAUAGAGACUCAGUAAGCAGCGAGAACUUGCCCCCAAUAAUGCAGAGUUUAGAGGUUCUUCAUCUGGGAUACAAUGGAAUUUGUAACUUAGUCCAGCUGCAACUUAACAGACUAAGAAACUUAAAGCUCCUCUUUCUACAGGGAAACGAGAUCAGUCAGGUAGAAGGGCUGGACAACCUCAUCGUCCUCCAGGAGCUGGUUGUCGACCAUAACCGCAUCCGGGCAUUCAGUGACACUGCGUUUGCCAAGCCAAGUUCCCUGCUGACUCUUCAUCUGGAGGAAAACAGGCUCCGAGAGCUGAGCAAACUGCAGUCUUUGAUCAAACUGGAGAAACUCUUCCUAGGCUAUAACAAAAUCCAGGAUAUCACAGAACUGGAAAAACUUGAUGUUAUUCCUUCUCUCAGAGAGCUUACUGUCUAUGGCAAUCCACAAUUAUCAAGACAUAGUCAACUACCCUUAUGAACCAAGGAAUGAUAAGAACAUCCCCAAGUCCAAGUACCAAACUCCAGCAAAGACCCAUCCUUGCAAGCAGAACCUUCUAAAAAUUUGUAGAAAAAUGGUCCAUCGACAUGUGCUCAUAUUCCGCCUGCCUAAUUUACAGAUGUUGGAUGGAAUUCCUAUAAAUUCUGAUGAUAGGGCAAAAGCUGAAUUUCAUUUC
Non-coding RNA from Rattus norvegicus (Norway rat), 4490 nucleotides. Lineage: Eukaryota; Metazoa; Chordata; Mammalia; Rodentia; Muridae. The record is from RefSeq and is a predicted model, not a curated record.